This is a long non-coding RNA of Physeter macrocephalus (sperm whale), 468 nucleotides long. RefSeq lists it as uncharacterized. The record is from RefSeq and is a predicted model, not a curated record. NCBI's taxonomy places the organism in Eukaryota, Metazoa, Chordata, Mammalia, Artiodactyla, Physeteridae. The transcript is spliced from 3 exons.
ACAAAAAAAGAAUUACUCUGAGUAAAUAAACAGAGAAGAUUAAAGGCCUUCCUCUAUGGGGGGCACCGUUUAUGAGGCAGCAAGCCAGGAGAGUUGUUUCUGGGAUUUUGUGAUGCUGCUGCAGCCGUGAACCACAUCUCAUUUCUGAGUUGUUGCAGUUGGGGCUCCUCAGCUUCUGAGUCUUAGCAUCCAGAGGCUCUGAUCUCAGUCCAUGUGUAUGUGCUGGAAGUGUCCCUGCCAGCACACAGGAAACAAAGUCAUGUACAGAUGUCACGGGAGCACAUGAUGGAGUGAGGUGAGCGCGCUGGAAGGGGCUCAAUGAUGAUGAUGAUGACGACGACAACGGGAGAGGCUCUGGGGGGACAGAGCUGGGAGAGAGACGGCAGUGGAGGAGCUCCCCCUGCAAAUUAUUUCAGGCCCUAAAGGAAAUGGGCAACUUGGGAGUCUGAAGGUAAAUAAAAAAUGGGA